UGAGUGUCUUCAGAGGAGGGCUCCUAGUGACUUGCUAAAGUAUUGCAUUCUGCAAACAGCAUCCACUCAGGAUAUGGGUGUUGGUUGGAAGACAUUCCUAAGAAAGGUCAAAGAGACAGUGACUGGAUACUGAAAAGUGUGGUACAGGAACAGUGAACAGCAACCUUGUUCCCACCACAGAGACUGAGGGUAAACUUCUGGGGACCAAGACACAGCAUGCUAUAUGCAAAGACUCCAGUGAGGAUCAGAAAAAUUGUGCAAAGAACUUGGCUGGUGCAUGACCAAACAUUCAGCAACGACUCUGUGUAAGGAACACUGUAGUCGCUUCUGGAUGAGAUGCUGAACUCCCCUCAGGUCUCAGGCAUUCAUUCUCCUGGCUUCCAAAGGUUGCUGCUUUCCCAGCAACUCCCAUUAAAGAUGGACUGGUGGGAAGAACAGGAUCUUUGGUCCCUUGAUGGGCUUAGAUGUUUGUGGCCAUUGCUGGGAGCUCAACUUCUUCCAAGAGACUGUUGUCUAGAGCCGUUAACAGUAAACUGAUGAUAUGCAAGUUUCGGAAUGGCUGUGAGAACUGUAACUUUGUUGAGGAAGAUGCUGCUGAUUCCACCUCAGAUAAGCCUGAUCUUGACAAGUGCACUAGCUGGGUCACACUCACGGGUCACACUCAUGGCCUAUUCUCAAGUAUGCCCAUUUUUUGAGGUACUGAUGAGGAAAGAGAUCACAAAAUUUAAAUUACAAAAGUCUGUGUGAAUUACAAAAGGGUGCUAUUUCUUUAACAAGAAUACCACUUUUUUUUUGCUUUCAGAAGUUGAUGUUUCUUUGAGAGUCAUGGAGUUUGGGCCAAGAAAUGUCUUUUUUUAAAUGUAACAACUGUAA
This is a long non-coding RNA of Nannospalax galili (Upper Galilee mountains blind mole rat), 873 nucleotides long. RefSeq lists it as uncharacterized. The record is from RefSeq and is a predicted model, not a curated record. Lineage: Eukaryota; Metazoa; Chordata; Mammalia; Rodentia; Spalacidae. The transcript is spliced from 3 exons.